GAGCGCAGUCACUUCAAAACCAUUUGCGUUGGAACGUUCGCGCAUCCGAAAUGGAAUUGAACAUUUGAAAUUAACCGUCAGUAUGCCGAAUCAAGAGGAACUGGUAUUAUCAGAGAAAUCAAAUUCUACUGUCAUAAUAAUGAUCAAGGGUUAAAAGAUACCAGAAAUAAGAAAAAUCUGAAGAACAUAUAGCAUGGAAACCAAUUAUUACACAAUAUUUUGUCUGAUAUAAGGCAGCAAGUGCACGACCUUCCACUGGUUACCGGAUUAACCGGCACUCGAGUAGAGUCGGGAAGAAGGGAGAAGUCUUGAUCGUGAUCAGAGGACAAAAUGAAAGACGAGGAUUAGUCUGUGAUCAGCAAGAGUCGAAGAGUACUGUCUUCCUGAAACUGCUUACGGCCAAAAUGGCCGAGAGUAGGGAAUCUCGCGGGCCAUCUCCGUCAUAUACAAAUAACAACCGAAGCCAAGGCGGGGACGAUAAAAAUAAUAGCUGUAGAAGCACCGGAAUCCUAUUCUACAAAUUAAUUUCAGUCAAUCAUUUAUCAUUAUUAAAUUAUUCAGACGAUUAUUUCUUAUUAACGAGUUUCCUCCAGCUGCACAGAUACAUGUCAUGUCACAUAUAUUUAUAUCUUCACAAUUUGCAAAUUCUCCAAGUUCAUAGCUCCUGUUCUUAAAGUAACACAUAUUUGGUGAUCCAGCAUCUAGAUGAUCACAGUUGUAUUUGUAGGCGCAACAGUCUCCUUCGUUCUUGUACACAGGAGUGCAUCCCACGUCAUUGUAAUAUAUCAGCGGUCCUGGACACUGUACCUGAGAACAAUCUUCAAUUUCUUUCAGCGAGACUCGUUUCUUUUUAAUAUGCAAUCACAUUAGUGUCCUCAGUCGAAGCGAAGACAAAGAAACAGAAAAAUACUUGGAGCAGGAGGAAAGUUCUGCCACGUCCGUCCAUGAUUUGGCUGAUGUUCACAUUGAAGCUUGUGAAGCUGUGCCUGCAUCUUUUAUACGAACUUUUGGUGUGGUUCGAGAAGUGGAGAUGGAAUCUGCUAAAAGUGGAAAGAUAUCAGUGCUUCUCUUAUCCAGGAGGUGACCGAUAUCAUACGGACACUGGGAAUCUCACUGGAGACUUUAAGACUAUUGCGUUUUGACUAUGAGACAUAUUUUCCUUUUGCUCGUCUAAUGAAAUUUGAAUGCAAACAGUAGGUGCGCGUCGGUUAAAACUUUACGAUAAUUCUUAGGUUUAACAUACGGAUUGAGAGCAGUGGAUAACAUAUUUAUCGGUUGCAACUGCAACGAGUCACUCUGUAUUUGCAGCUACAUCUUAUAAUUUUAUCUUGACGCAAUCUCUUACGCAAACUCUCGGAGUUCCUGGUACAAAGAUGCGCAUACAGAACAGAGUAGUAGUACGUGAUUUCAUUGAUACAACUAACGAGAUUGCGUGGAGCUGACAGGUCGUCAACUCACUAGUAGUUAUUAGAGCGAAUGAAGUGUACUAUAUGAAAGAAGCUUGAAUGAAGUAGUAGAAAGUAUAUUUCUUUAUUGCUUAUGUUGUAAUAUUCUUCGACUUUAUAUAAAGUGUUACGAAGACGAUCUUUGGCUUUAAUAAACAUUAAUAUCAGUAGCUUAUAGUGAUGUUUGACUAACAAGCCUACUUCGAGUUCUUCUGCCCUUCUCGAAUUUCAAAUCGGAUUAAAGUAUUCUCGAUCAUAUAUUUCUCAAGAAUCAUUUACCACCUAGAGAAUGAUUUGUAACAUCGCAUUCAUUGUCAUCAAGACGUUGACACGUUGGUGUAGGUGGAAUUUCGCAAACGCAUUUAACGCAUACCGAACUAUAAUCUGUACCUUGAUUAAGCUCGUCCCCGACAUUCAUAGUCAGGUUACCGAAUGUGCAGGUCAUACCUUCUAGAAGGAAAAAAAAAAGAUAAUGAAUAAUUGGAUUCAACAAUUAAACUACCAGGGAUAUCCACCUGGCAUAAUCUAGUUGAACAAAUGGAAUUUACCUUUUUCACCAGAAGAGUCUCCCUCAGGGGAUGCGGAUUUACUUUUAUAUGAUAUUACGGGAAACUUACGACAUCGCCAAGCUACACUGCAACUGGUAGCAGGAUUUUGGGUAGCGUAAUACGUUGGAAUACAUCUCUCGGCAAUAUCUUCGUUAUGAUGCAAAUCUGUACCGCAUAUAGUGCUCGGAGUUAUGCA
Long non-coding RNA from Cephus cinctus (wheat stem sawfly), 2189 nucleotides. RefSeq lists it as uncharacterized. NCBI's taxonomy places the organism in Eukaryota, Metazoa, Arthropoda, Insecta, Hymenoptera, Cephidae. The transcript is spliced from 5 exons. The record is from RefSeq and is a predicted model, not a curated record.